RNAcentral lists this ribosomal RNA (598 nucleotides) under Brettanomyces custersianus. Its description in RNAcentral is "eukaryotic LSU rRNA". It matches the Rfam family "Eukaryotic large subunit ribosomal RNA", at positions 48 to 657 of the family's 3401-position model. The record is from RNAcentral. Lineage: Eukaryota; Fungi; Ascomycota; Pichiomycetes; Pichiales; Pichiaceae.
UAGCGGAGGAAAAGAAACCAACAGGGAUUGCCUCAGUAAUGGCGAACGAAGCGGCAACAGCCCAAAUUUGAAAUCUGGCGUAAGCCCGAGUUGUAAUUUGGAGGUAGACUAUUUGGGUGUCUGUGUCAACUAAGUGCCUUGGAAUAGGCCGCCGUAGAGGGUGAGAGCCCCGUGAGUUGACUAGCAGUUAUUCAGUUUGUCUUCCGACGAGUCGAGUUGUUUGGGAUUGCAGCUCUAAGUGGGUGGUAUAUUCCAUCUAAGGCUAAAUAAUAGCGAGAGACCGAUAGCAAACAAGUACAGUGAUGGAAAGAUGAAAAGAACUUUGAAAAGAGAGUGAAAUAGUACGUGAAAUUGUUGAAAGGGAAGGGUAUCUGAUCCGACGUGGUAUUUAGAUGUCGCCUGCCCUUGUGGCGGGUGCUCCAUUUUUUUACUGGGCCAGCGUGAGUUAGAAGGGGAUGAAAAGGCGGGAACGAAUGUAGCCUUCCUCCCUUUGGGAGAGGGGUGUUAUAACAUUCCUGUUUAGUUCCUUUCUGACUGAGGUCCGCGGUUUUUUAUUACCAAGGACGCUGGCAGAACGAGCAGAUACCGCCCGUCUUGA